AUUGCUUCUUGGCCUUUUGGCUAAGAUCAAGUGUAGUACCAUUGAGCUAUAUUCUUAGCUUUCAAACCACCUAACUUGUUUAAAGAACUGUCAUAUGGUGGCAUGGUUACUGUACCACUUUACAUUUCCACCAGCAGUGC
This 140-nucleotide small nuclear RNA is filed under the name Fukomys damarensis (Damara mole-rat). Its description in RNAcentral is "U2 spliceosomal RNA". It matches the Rfam family "U2 spliceosomal RNA". Rfam says of the family: U2 is a small nuclear RNA (snRNA) component of the spliceosome (involved in pre-mRNA splicing). Complementary binding between U2 snRNA (in an area lying towards the 5' end but 3' to hairpin I) and the branchpoint sequence (BPS) of the intron results the bulging out of an unpaired adenosine, on the BPS, which initiates a nucleophilic attack at the intronic 5' splice site, thus starting the first of two transesterification reactions that mediate splicing. Lineage: Eukaryota; Metazoa; Chordata; Mammalia; Rodentia; Bathyergidae. The record is from Rfam by way of RNAcentral.